RNAcentral lists this long non-coding RNA (1552 nucleotides) under Olea europaea subsp. europaea. The record is from RNAcentral. Lineage: Eukaryota; Viridiplantae; Streptophyta; Magnoliopsida; Lamiales; Oleaceae.
AAAAAAUGUACUCCAUAUUAUGUUGGUUCUAAAGAUUUAACCUUUUAUCGACAUUUAAUCAUAUUUUUCAUUGUCUUGGGUAUAGAUUUGUCUACUCUAAUGUUUAUAUUUAAACUAUGUAUGACAUAACUUAUAUGGUAAUAGUUUUUCUUUUUUCCAUAUAGUUGCUAUUGCUUACUUUCAGCUCCAACUAUUUGAUAAUUUUCUUCAUUUAUUGAUUGACAUAAUGGAACCAUGUGGUCAUCGAGAGUCCCGUUUGUAUAACGCUCAAACUCUUCUAAAAGUACAAGUCAAUCACAUGAUGCAUUAAUUCGUCAACAACGAAAUCAAAGAUGAAGAGAUCGACGACAUCAAGCUGAAACUUGAUUCAUUAAUUAUCAUAAAAAAGUAAUUCAGCCUAUGUUAUUUACAAAUAAUGAUUCUCACGUUGUCCAUGUACAUGAACCUACAACAUACCAUCAUUCUAAGCCUUCUACUCCCAACAAUGAAGUAUUAAACAUUUGCAAUACUGAAUUACAUGAGAGUUCUAACCAAUUAAAUGUACCAUGUAUUGCAUAUGUAUUACCGACAUGUACAUAUUGUAAAGAUUAUGGUGCAAAAAAUUCUACAGAGAAAGUAAAGGUUUCUGUUGUUCUGAUGGAAAAGUUUAACUCUCUAUGUCUGAUCCGCUAAUUGAACUCUACAAUUUAUUUACUUUUAAAGAACCUAUAUGUAUGGAAUUCAAAAAAAAAUUGCCAGGGCAUUUUACAUUCACUUCAUUUGGGGUAAAGUAUGACAAAGAAUUGUUUAAAUCAUACAGAGGUAUCUACACAUUUAGGAUUCAAGGUCAAGUAUAUCAUUACGUAAAUCCACUUAUGCCAGAAAAUAACACGCCUUCUUAUAUGCAAUUAUAUUUUUAUGAUACAGAUAACAAAGUUGGGAAUCGUAUAAAAAUUUCAGAGAAUUUUGUUCAAUCUACUUUGAUUAGUUUAAUUGAAAUCCUCAAAAUAAAUCCGUAUAGUAUAUUAUUUAGGUCUUUUAGUAAUAUGACAAAUUUGCACGAUCAUCAAAUACAAACAAGAUUCGAUCCGGGACUUGAUCAAGGAGUUUUCAAUACUCCUACGACGUCUCAAGUUGCUGCUGUAUGGGUUGAAGACGAUGAAAAUGCAAAUGUUCGUACUCGAGAUAUUAUUAUUUACAGUCAUUCCGAUGAUUCACAUAAGGUUCAUUACUGUUAUGGUUGUUAUGAUCAUUUACAAUAUCCUUUGCUUUUCCCAUAUGGAGAAUCUUGUUGGCAUGAAGGCAUUAAGAGAUGCAACAACAAAUAUUUACAGUCUCAACAUCUGUCUGACUUAGAUGGUUUUCCUAGCACAGUAACUUCCGCAUCUGAAAUUAUUGAAAAAGAUGAUGAAGAUUUAUGUAUAUUUUUUCUUUAUAGUUCUACUUUCUACAAUGUAAAUUAAUAAAUGAAUAUAUAAUUUUGACAUUUUCCAUCAUGCGGUGCUUAAUGGAACGAAGAAACGAUUUCAAGUCUCUUGCCGAGAAUACUAUUCAUACAAAUUCCAGAUUAGGC